AUUGACGGGGACGUCACCCAUCGUAUAGGAGCGGGGUGGUCAAAGUGGAGGCUUGCAUCAGGAGUCCUGUGUGACAAGAAAGUUCCACACAAACUCAAGUGGAAAUUCUAUAGAGCCGUGGUUAGACCUGCGAUGUUGUAUGGGGCGGAGUGCUGACCCGUGAAGAACUCUCAUGUUCAGAGAAUGAAGGUUACCGAGAUGAGGAUGCUUA
Molecule: long non-coding RNA, 211 nt
Filed under: Nicotiana benthamiana
Lineage: Eukaryota; Viridiplantae; Streptophyta; Magnoliopsida; Solanales; Solanaceae
Description: long non-coding RNA (NBEN_LNC029970)
Source: RNAcentral